Microtus ochrogaster (prairie vole) is the source of this 5316-nucleotide RNA transcript. It is a transcript of the gene named synapsin III, with no coding region annotated. Lineage: Eukaryota; Metazoa; Chordata; Mammalia; Rodentia; Cricetidae. The record is from RefSeq and is a predicted model, not a curated record.
GCGUCCCAGCUGCAGCAAGUCCGCGGAUCUUGUAACUGGCGGCGCCGGUCGGAGGUACCCACGGGCCACCGUAGCUGGCAAGGUAAACAGAAUUCUGGGAAGCCCACUUCUGGUGUGUAGAAGCCCUGGGCUCCUCUGACCCCACACCUCCUGCUCCCUGUUGCUGGCUCCUUGCACUUUGAGCCUCACCUAGUUCCUCUGUGUGGACGGAGGUUUCCCAUCUAUCGCAGCCAUGAACUUCCUCCGGAGGCGUCUAUCCGACAGCAGCUUUGUGGCCAACCUGCCCAAUGGCUACAUGCCGGACCUGCAGCGCCCAGAAAGCUCCAGUAGCUCCCCAGCAUCCCCGGCCACUGAAAGGAGGCACCCCCAGCCCCUGGCUGGCUCCUUCUCUUCUCCAGGAUCCAGCCUGUUCAGCUCCUUCUCCAGUGCCAUGAAACAGACCCCACAGACCCCCUCGGGGUUAAUGGAACCACCAACUCCUGUCACACCCGUGGUUCAGAGACCCAGGAUCUUGUUGGUGAUCGAUGAUGCCCACACAGACUGGUCAAAGUAUUUCCACGGGAAGAAAGUGAAUGGCGACAUUGAGAUCCGAGUGGAGCAGGCAGAGUUCUCUGAGCUGAACCUGGCUGCUUAUGUUACCGGAGGCUGCAUGGUGGACAUGCAAGUUGUGAGAAAUGGCACCAAAAUCGUGAGGUCCUUCAAACCAGACUUCAUCCUGGUUCGACAGCAUGCCUACAGCAUGGCCCUGGCUGAGGACUACCGCAGCCUGGUCAUCGGCCUUCAGUAUGGAGGGCUUCCUGCUAUCAACUCUCUCUACUCUGUCUACAACUUCUGCAGCAAGCCCUGGGUGUUCUCUCAGCUCAUUAAGAUCUUCCGUUCUUUGGGUCCUGAGAAGUUUCCACUCGUGGAGCAAACAUUUUUCCCCAACCACAAGCCAAUGCUCACGGCCCCGCACUUCCCCGUGGUGAUCAAGCUGGGACAUGCCCAUGCUGGCAUGGGAAAGAUCAAAGUAGAAAACCAGCAUGACUACCAGGACAUCACUAGUGUGGUGGCCAUGGCCAAAACCUAUGCCACCACUGAAGCCUUUAUCGACUCCAAGUAUGACAUCCGCAUACAGAAGAUUGGAUCCAACUACAAGGCAUACAUGAGAACCUCCAUCUCUGGAAACUGGAAGGCCAACACAGGUUCUGCCAUGCUGGAGCAGGUGGCCAUGACGGAAAGGUACAGGCUAUGGGUGGACAGCUGCUCAGAAAUGUUCGGCGGCCUAGACAUAUGUGCUGUCAAGGCUGUCCACAGCAAGGAUGGGAGAGAUUAUAUCAUCGAGGUCAUGGACAGUUCAAUGCCUCUGAUUGGGGAGCAUGCGGAAGAGGACAAGCAUUUAAUGGCCGACCUUGUUGUCUCCAAGAUGAGCCAAGUCCUGGUGCCAGGGGGCACGGUGCCCUCACCCCUGAGACCUUGGGGUCCACAGACUAAACUUGCAAAAUCUCCAGGGCAAGGCCAGUUGGGACCUCAGCUAGGACAGCCCCAGCCAAGGCCGCCUCCCCAAGGGGGCCCUCGUCAAGCUCAGUCUCCCCAGCCUCCCAGAUCUAGAAGUCCAUCCCAACAGAGGCUUUCCCCACAAGGCCAGCAGCCUGUGAGCCCUCAGUCAGGAUCUCCACAGCAGCAGAGGUCACCAGGCUCUCCGCAGUUAUCCCGGGCAUCUGGGGGCACGUCUCCAAACCAGGCCUCCAAGCCAUAUCCCCGGCCACCUGUGCAAGGCCGCAGCACCUCCCAGCAGGGUGAAGAGCCCCAAAAGUCAGCACCACCUCACCCCCACCUCAACAAAUCUCAGUCCCUGACUAACAGCCUCAGUACGUCAGAUGCUUCCCAUCGAGGGACCCCAAGUGAAGACGAGGCCAAGGCUGAGACCAUCCGCAACCUGAGGAAGUCCUUUGCCAGCCUCUUCUCCGACUAGCCUCCUCCUCGGGCUGAAGAGCAGGAGGGCAGGAAGACUCGAUGACUGGAGACUUUCUCUGGCUCCCUCCUUCUCAGCCUCGGUUCCUGGUGGAAACACACUUCCUAGAUGCCUCUGACCCAGGAACUGAUGAUCUACGCGCAUUCCCACCUCCUUGACCGUGACGUUCCAAUGCCACCUGACUGAGCAGUAGUAGCCUUGAGGGCCACUGGGCUCCUCAGGGCAGACGUUCUAGACAGAUAAGACAUCACUACACCCACCGUAUGCUUGCUCCCCUGCCGACGGUACCCAGUAAGAUGUCUGUGUGGCUUGGUUUUGCAUUCUUAUUAGUGUUUUGCUUGCCUUUGGGCAGAGGCCCGCUUCGAAGCCUUGACUUACCUCCAUCAAAAGCAGACAUUGUAGUUGGACCUCAGCAACACAAGAGGCAAUACUUUUUAAUGGUGUUUUUGCAGACAGAAAUAGGGAAGCCCAGCCUAGGAGCCUACUACCCACCCAGAGCAAGCUAGUGCCAUCCUUGCUGGGAGUAGGCUAACAAAGGCCCCAUCGCAGCUGGACCUCCUAGGGAUCUUGAUGCCGAAAGAAAGAAGCUAGACCCUAUGCAACAAGUGGGGCCUUUCAGAACAGAGUAGAGGGACCCCUACAUAAUGCUACCCAGGCUUAGAGCCAACAGCAGGAAUCCAGAGGAGAAGAGCCUGUGCCCCCUGUGGAGAGGGUCAUAGGAUUGUGUCUCUUUGACCUCACACAGAAUUUGCUUUUCCCUCAAGGUUAGAUGGGAACCCAGAGGGAGUGGGUAGCUCCCUGUUGCAUGAGAAGACAUCGUGAGGGGUUCUAUAUGGUUCAGCAUUCUACCUGCUCUGAACAAGGUGUCAGUAAUGUAAAUAAUGUAAAUGCCCCCGCGUUUACGAAAGGUCUGGUGGGUCAACCUUCAGAAACAGUGCGUGUGUUUCUCUUUGUGGAACACAGAACACAGGACACACAUUGAAGCCUUUUGGAAUCUCUUCCAGAAAAAGUUCCACUCCAACCUGGUCUCGGCCAUUAUGACUCAGAUGGUUGGCUGCAGAGCUAGGCAAAGUGGUCCUGACUCCCCUUCCAGUGCGCAUAUGCCCCUUCCCCUGCACCAGACUGCUCCCGGAUCGCAUCACCAAGCACCUGGUGCUUGAAACACUGUAGGUUGCAGCAGAGCAGCAGCAUCCUGAUCCCGAGACGACCCAGGUUUUAAGAACACAGCCAUGCAGAUCUGCACAGCGCCCUCAGCCACCUGAGGUGUGUCUUCCCUGCACGCUGCAAGGGAGGGAAGGGUUAUUAAAGGGAGCAGUUUCUGGUUAUGCUCAAGUUCUGCAUAGCCUUGGUGAUCAUCUAAGGUUUUUCCAGGUCUCCAGGAACACAGAAGCAGCCACUAUGGUCUUUGCGGAGUUUUCUGCUUGUUUUCUUGGAACAGAGUUUCAUUCAGCAACUCGGGCUGAACGUAGCCCAAGCAAGUCUCAAAAUCAUGGUGACUCUUCUGCUUUAUCAGCCUCCCAAGUGCUGAGAUUUCCUGAAUGAACCACCACAUCCAGCAAGCAAUCAUCAUUUUUCUUUGUCCUCCCAGCCCAGACUGGAGUAGCAAAGACAAGGGUAGAGACCCUCUCCUGCCUUGGCUCACUUAGAACCCUGCAUUUCUGCAGAAUUGCACCUUCAAGCUGGUUUCCAGAAGGGAUCAGCUCAGCAUCAAAAGUGGCAGCUUUGGCCCUGGCUGCAGAGAUCCAUUUGGCCCUCAGGGUCAUCCUCUUCCUCCUUGCCUUCUCCUCCCUCAUGAUCAAGUCAAUAUCAAGAGCAAGCACGCUGGUUAUUUCAGAAGCCCUCCUUGGCCCGUUUCCACAUCCUUGGUUUGGAGGAAUAAACAGCUGGUGUGAUUCUACAUCGUGAAGGUCCAGAGACCACUGAGACCUUGGUUUGGAGCUGAAGACUGCAGGGCUUCGCCUAGUUGGAACUGACUAGACUGAGGAGCAAAUAGCCUGUGGUGUGAAGUGAGGCAUGAAUGGCUGGAGGUCUGCACUUCCCAGUACCAACCAAGCCCAACUCUUUUAUUCCUAAGUUCAGUGUGUGCAGGACGGUCCCUGGGGCUUGCCUACACCCACCCUGCCCACGUCGCCCUCAUUUUGCUCAACUGCUCUUCGAUCACAGAAUGAGGCUGGCAAAAGCUUCCAGAAUUCUUCUCGAGGAUGAUGGGGAUGACCCAGAACGAGGAAAGACAACUUGGCACAACAGUCAGCAGAUUCUCCUGUCCCUCACCCACUCCCUGAUGAGGGAAGAGGAGGUCUUGAGGCCAGCACUCCCAGCCAUGAUUUAGUGGUAUGGGGAGGAGAAGCUCCCAUUACUAAAAGGAGAACUUAGAGGCCAAGAAAGAUGGAAGGCUACUACAAGCCAACGCACUGGAGCGGCACCAUUCUCAAGCACUCGCGAGAGGCUUCUGGGCUGUCCUGCUCCCGUUACAAUGCAUGGAGAUGACAUCACAAAGCCACAGAGCGAAGAACCCGCUGCCAAGUCAGGAUCCCACCCAUUAUGUUAUCAGCAAUACACAAAAGCUCACAGUCUAAAGACAAGGGUGCAAGAUUUCCUAAGCUUCUAAAUAUAAAAUCAGCUGCCAGUCAAGAGAAAAUGCUUUGAGGACUCCUUAAUAAGAAUUUUUGAGAGGUGCCUACGUUUAGAUUGAGAGCACUCUUUCAGCAUCUUAAACUCAAACUUGCAACAUCUGCCAGUCAAGUUGAGUGAGGGUGGACCGGCACCAUCAGGGGCUCCCGGGCCUAUCUGGAAACGGCUGUGUUCUGAAAACUUGUAUUUGGUGCUCUGGUCUUCCGUUUCCCACGCCACGCGUGCACACACACUACAUGGGGCAACAACGUCCAGCUACAAAGACAUGUUUUGAGGUGGAAUCUUCAUGGUGACCCUUUCAACCAUACCCAAAUGAAGCCUAUGGUAUUCGGUGGGCAUUAAGAAGACUGUCCUAUAGAACACAGAAACCUAAGCAGCCCAGGAUCCUCUUCUUCAUUAAAGAUCACGUAGCUUAUAGAAAUAUCAGACUGAAUUUUCUUCACUGUGAUGCAAAGACUCGAAACACAUGGGUAGCAAAGUCUCACUUGAACACAGGACUAAUAUUCCUGCAGCAUACAUUCUAAGCCAUUUCCUAAUAUGCAAAACAGGUUUUUAAAAUCAGAAGACAGUGGGUGGCACUACUCCUAUUUCCUGCAGAUGCUAAUGGCAUUUUAUUCCUGUGCAGCAGUUCGAUUUCAAUUUGUCACUAUAGCAUGUUCCUAUAGUUAUUUGUGAAAGUCAUUUGUGUUUGGGCCUUUUCUUGUAGAAUAAAUAAAUGUUGAAUUUUUGAG